AAGAGUGGAAAUAGAAUGUGAACUCUGAAAAUAUUAGUUAGAGAGAGUUGAUUACUAACUGGAGAGAGUAAAUAUAGAAGAUAUAUUUAGUAUUAGAGAGAUAUCUGAGUGAAGCCAAUGGAUGAUCUAGGGUUUUUCUCAAUUUCUACUUCAACCAAUCAUGGUCGCAAUCCAAAUUAAGUGUAAAAAUGCAUUGAUAAAAGAUUAAAAUGAGGCUCACUCAAGAGACAACAACUGAGAUUAACUUGGUUAAUUACUGAUUUAACAGAAAGACUUUAUGAUGCAUGGUGUUUCCUUCAUCGUCAUCGUCAUCGUUAUCUUUUUUCUCUAGUUGUUUCUCACCAGAUUUUGUAGCAUCCAUCUCUCUGGUAAGAGUUUAUGCAAACUUCCCUCUAUCUAUUCCAUAGCUCGGAAGUGGCUCUUUGGAUCCCUUGUGGUUAACGAUAAAUUUAUAAACCCUUCAUCUCAAAACACAAACAAGAUCUUCAAAAUACUCUGGCCUGAUUGUAU
RNAcentral lists this long non-coding RNA (510 nucleotides) under Carica papaya (papaya). RNAcentral's name for it is "long non-coding RNA (CPAP_LNC001848)". Lineage: Eukaryota; Viridiplantae; Streptophyta; Magnoliopsida; Brassicales; Caricaceae. The record is from RNAcentral.